RNAcentral lists this unclassified non-coding RNA (187 nucleotides) under Narcissea cordispora. RNAcentral's name for it is "Coprinus cordisporus partial internal transcribed spacer 2". Lineage: Eukaryota; Fungi; Basidiomycota; Agaricomycetes; Agaricales; Psathyrellaceae. The record is from RNAcentral.
AAUUCUCAACUCUACCAGUUUUCUGUGUAGAGCUUGGAUAUGGAGGUCGUGCAGAAUGCUCACGCGUACUGCUCCUCUCAAAUGGAUUAGCGAGUUCACUGGACUCCGUCUAUUGGUGUGAUAAUUAUCUACGCCGUGGAUUGGGUUUAGACUUGCUUCUAACCGUCCGCAAGGACAAUCUUUGACA